UUUAUCAUUUUAAUCAUAUUUUCAAUCUAAACACUAAAAUAUAUUUUUAAACACAUAAACAUGAAUUCAAUGAAAACUGCUUAUUAUUUUAUAAAAUUCAUUGUAAACAACUUAUUUGAUUUUUUUUGUGAAGGUAUUAUUAAAUAGAAAUCAUGUUUUUGGCGGAGUAACAAACAUUAUAGGUAUUAAGACCAAUUAGAUGAUUCUAUUACAUAUUAUAACUGUUUCCUCGAAAAAAAUUGUAAUCAAUGAGUUAUUUGAAGUUUUCUUCAUUAUAUACUUUAUAAUAUUCAUUUAGAAGGUUUCUUAGGUUUACAGUAAGACGAUCAUAAGAAUACACACAAUCUCUCUCCCUCUAGAAUGUCAAAGAUGGGUUUUUAUUACCAAUUUCAUGUUGCAUACUCAUAACAUAUUUAUUCUUUUUGCUCUCUGCCUUGGAAGCAUAAGGCGCUUUCUCCUAUGUUACACAUUCAAACAACAACAAAAAUCUGUAGUUUUCUUCUUCCUUCCUAUUAUUUGAAGUAUGAAGAAAUCGAAAUCAAAUACAAGUGAGAGAAGUUCUGAAGAUAUUAGAUUCAUAAAACGGAAAAAGAAACCUAUGAUAGGUGCUCCUAAACGGGGCCAGCUUAACAUAACCAGAGGCCCCAAGGCAGAAAGUUUUUUUGGGUCCCCUAACUAGUCGGUUUUAAAAAUAUUAUGUUUCUUUGACUUUUCAACUCAGGCAUAGCAUCAUUUAAGAAUUUGUAUUUGAUUUUCUAGUUAAAAAAAUCUGUAAUAUUAUGUUUUUAUACUAUCCAAAUCUAAACAAAACAUGCUAAAAAAAAGAAUGAAAGCCCUUAACAUAACAUGAUUUGAAGCAGGCAUGGGAUGGUCGCAUUAACCGACAUCCCUCAUAAAACGGCCCAGCUCAUCGCUUUAGCGUUCGAUUUUGUCUCCGGCCAUGUCGAGAAGAGACGGCGGCUGCAAAAGUCAGAGGUAGAAAAACUGAAGAUUAUAGUUUUUUCGUUUGUUUUUUAUUGCUAUUAAUAUGUUGAAGGGUAUUAUUGUCUUUUGACCUGUUAAUAAAAGUUAUAUUUCUGAUAUUUAGUUUGAGAUACUAUUUUGGAAUGAAAAUUGAAAAAUGGUAUUGACUAGAAUUGCCCUUUUAAAUAAAAUUACUAUAUUAUUAUAGAUAUUGCCUUUUUGAUAAUAAGAUAAUUUGGAAAUAAAUAUAAACAAAAAGUUAAUAAAAUAUAUUAAUAAUGAUAUUUUAAUAAUAAAAUUAACUCAAAUUGUAGUUAUCUAUAAGAAUCAAUACGAAAGUGACACAUAAGAUACUGACUUAUCAUAUAAUAUUAUACAGGUUUUCGAAAAUAAAGUUAGUCAAAACAAAUUUAGUUGCAGAUCUUUUCCAUUGACUACUACACGAAAGACAUACCAAUAAUUUGAAAAAUAUAUAUAUAUAUAUAUAUAUAUAUAUAUAUGUUUAUAUGUAUUGUUUUGAUCAUCAUAUAACAAAGGCAAACUUUUUGUGAAAAGAAUUAAUCAUCACAAUGUCGUCUUCCAGUUGCGCUAUCUUUUGCAUCAUCUUCGUUUUGCUUUUUGGUUGUCUUGAAAGUAGAAACAUGGAGGGGCUUGAGGAAAGCAAGAUAGAUUUACCAACGUGCUUUCCAUCAACUUGUCUACCUGGAGACUUUAAAUGUUAUUGCUGCAAUCUUGUAAAGGAGAUCAGAUUCUGUACACUUACCUACGAUGUGUGUGCGGAGGACUGUCAGCCCAAAGCAUAAUUAAUCAAGCAACCUCCUUCAAAGAUUCAAGAAUUAUGAAGAGCAUUAAAUACAUGUGUUCUUUGUAAAAUGUGAUCUUUAAAAAAAAAUGUGUUCUUUGUGAGUCUGUAUGAUUAAUAAAAAUAUAAGUGACUCCAAUACUUAUGCCUA
Brassica napus (rape) is the source of this 1916-nucleotide long non-coding RNA. RefSeq lists it as uncharacterized. The record is from RefSeq and is a predicted model, not a curated record. Lineage: Eukaryota; Viridiplantae; Streptophyta; Magnoliopsida; Brassicales; Brassicaceae. The transcript has 2 exons.